This 239-nucleotide unclassified non-coding RNA is filed under the name air metagenome. RNAcentral's name for it is "partial contains small subunit ribosomal RNA, internal transcribed spacer 1, and 5.8S ribosomal RNA". The stretch from base 1 to 46 matches the Rfam family "Eukaryotic small subunit ribosomal RNA", at positions 1786 to 1831 of the family's 1831-position model. The record is from RNAcentral.
AAGUCGUAACAAGGUUUCCGUAGGUGAACCUGCGGAAGGAUCAUUAUUGAAUUCGUUCGCUUUUCUGGCUGUGCGCCGCAAGGCUUGCACGCCAGAGAGCAACUCGAUUUCCACACACCUGUGCACCUUCACGGGCUCCCCACAAAGGGGUCCGUUCUUUUUCACUAGCCACGAAUGUCAAGGAAUGUAUCUAUAAUGAAAAUUAAAUACAACUUUCAACAACGGAUCUCUUGGCUCUC